Molecule: RNA transcript, 774 nt
Organism: Corylus avellana
Lineage: Eukaryota; Viridiplantae; Streptophyta; Magnoliopsida; Fagales; Betulaceae
Gene name: putative disease resistance RPP13-like protein 1 pseudogene
Source: RefSeq, a predicted model, not a curated record
UGAUUUCGAGGAAUUCAUUGAAUGAGCCAAAAGCCUCGGAAGAGUCCCAUUUCCUGACCUCGAAGGCGGCAACAACAUAUUCAGGAGAUCAAAGAGCUUGGGUCACAAUUACAAGAAGCAAAUAUAAUCUAUGAUCCUGUGAAGCAUGAACGCUUGAAGAAUACAGGAGAUGGAAGAGCUUGGUUAUGAAUACACAAAGCAGAGGCUAGCUUGCAUAUACACGUAAAAGAUUCAUUUUGAUGAAUGGGAUUUUGAGUUAAAGAAAAAAAUGGAAGCCUCCUUUAAUGAUGUUUGCAAUGGAAACCUGAUCUCGCUUUUCAGCUAGGGACCUUUUGAGGUUCAAGUGCGUCUCCAAGAUGUGGAAGCUUACACUACAUCAGAAUCAUCCUCCUUACAUAAUAUUCACCAUCAAGCUCAUGAGGCAUCUCAGCCCUCCUUGUUCAUCAAAGGAGUAAUGAUAGUGGAAUGCAAUGUUUCUUUUUUGAAAUUGUACCCGAAGAUCUGAGAUAUCUUCAUCUGCAAUCCAAAUACCUGGCAAUGGAUGCUGCUGAGGCCCACUAAUUGUUGUUGGUGAGAUCUUUGGAUUGGCAUUCUUGCCAUUUGGUUCUUUGUCAAAGAUGGCUCCAUGUUUUAAGGUGGUGAACAUUCAACAUUCAAACUUUGACCAAAAUUCUCAUUGGAGACAUGAAAAUAGAGAACUUCCCUUGAAGCUUACGAAGAUCAUGAGGGAUUUUGUUGGUAUUUUCGACAUGCCAUAUUUUUUUCUUUGUUGGU